RNAcentral lists this ribosomal RNA (287 nucleotides) under uncultured Eubacteriales bacterium. RNAcentral's name for it is "uncultured Clostridiales bacterium partial 16S ribosomal RNA". The stretch from base 49 to 287 matches the Rfam family "Bacterial small subunit ribosomal RNA", at positions 100 to 339 of the family's 1533-position model. Lineage: Bacteria; Bacillati; Bacillota; Clostridia; Eubacteriales. The record is from RNAcentral.
ACUUUAUUUUGAUUUCCUUCGGGACUGAUUAUUUUGUGACUGAGUGGCGGACGGGUGAGUAACGCGUGGGUAACCUGCCUUGUACAGGGGGAUAACAGUUGGAAACGGCUGCUAAUACCGCAUAAGACCACAGCACCGCAUGGUGCAGGGGUAAAAACUCCGGUGGUACAGGAUGGACCCGCGUCUGAUUAGCUAGUUGGUGAGGUAACGGCCCACCAAGGCGACGAUCCAUAGCCGGACUGAGAGGUUGAACGGCCACAUUGGGACUGAGAUACGGCCCAGACUCC